Molecule: ribosomal RNA, 481 nt
Filed under: uncultured bacterium
Lineage: Bacteria
Description: partial 16S ribosomal RNA
Rfam family: Bacterial small subunit ribosomal RNA
Source: RNAcentral
AAUGAACGUUGGCGGCGUGGAUUAGGCAUGCAAGUCGUGCGACAGGCCCGCAAGGGCGCUGAGCGGCGAAAGGGAGAGUAACGCGUAGGUUAUCUACCCUCAGGACCGGGAUAGCUACGGGAAACUGUGGGUAAUACCAGAUGAUGUCUCCGGACUAGAGGUGUGAUUCCGCCUGUGGAGGAGCCUGCGUCCUAUUAGCUAGUUGGUGGGGUAACGGCCUACCAAGGCUGAGAUGGGUACGGGGUAUGAGAGUAUGCCCCCGCUCACUGGGACUGAGACACUGCCCAGACACCUACGGGUGGCUGCAGUCGAGGAUCUUCGGCAAUGGGCGCAAGCCUGACCGAGCGACGCCGCGUGUGGGAUGAAGGCCUUCGGGUUGUAAACCACUGUCAGUGGGGAGGAAAUAUACGGGGGUUCUCCCUCGUAUUUGACCUAUCCGCAGAGGAAGUACGGGCUAGGUUCGUGCCAGCCGCCGCCGUAA